CCAUGGCGGCAGCUACCAUGCAGUCGAGCGGUAGAGAGAAGCUUGCUUCUCUUGAGAGCGGCGGAUUGGCGAGUAAUGCCUAGGAAUCUGCCUGGUAGUGGGGGAUAACGUUCGGAAACGGACGCUAAUACCGCAUACGUCCUACGGGAGAAAGCAGGGGACCUUCGGGCCUUGCGCUAUCAGAUGAGCCUAGGUCGGAUUAGCUAGUUGGUGAGGUAAUGGCUCACCAAGGCGACGAUCCGUAACUGGUCUGAGAGGAUGAUCAGUCACACUGGAACUGAGACACGGUCCAGACUCCUACGGGAGGCAGCAGUGGGGAAUAUUGGACAAUGGGCGAAAGCCUGAUCCAGCCAUGCCGCGUGUGUGAAGAAGGUCUUCGGAUUGUAAAGCACUUUAAGUUGGGAGGAAGGGUUGUAGAUUAAUACUCUGCAAUUUUGACGUUACCGACAGAAUAAGCACCGGCUAACUCUGUGCCAGCAGCCGCGGUAAUACAGAGGGUGCAAGCGUUAAUCGGAAUUACUGGGCGUAAAGCGCGCGUAGGUGGUUUGUUAAGUUGGAUGUGAAAUCCCCGGGCUCAACCUGGGAACUGCAUUCAAAACUGACUGACUAGAGUAUGGUAGAGGGUGGUGGAAUUUCCUGUGUAGCGGUGAAAUGCGUAGAUAUAGGAAGGAACACCAGUGGCGAAGGGACCACCUGGACUAAUACUGACCACUGA
This 715-nucleotide ribosomal RNA is filed under the name Pseudomonas sp. RNAcentral describes it as "bacterial SSU rRNA". It matches the Rfam family "Bacterial small subunit ribosomal RNA", at positions 34 to 749 of the family's 1533-position model. The record is from RNAcentral. Lineage: Bacteria; Pseudomonadati; Pseudomonadota; Gammaproteobacteria; Pseudomonadales; Pseudomonadaceae.